GGGCCGNCAAACCUGUUNCUCGAGCGGUACACAGAGAGCUUGCUCUCGGGUGACGAGCGGCGGACGGGUGAGUAAUGUCUGGGAAACUGCCUGAUGGAGGGGGAUAACUACUGGAAACGGUAGCUAAUACCGCAUAACGUCGCAAGACCAAAGUGGGGGACCUUCGGGCCUCAUGCCAUCAGAUGUGCCCAGAUGGGAUUAGCUAGUAGGUGGGGUAAUGGCUCACCUAGGCGACGAUCCCUAGCUGGUCUGAGAGGAUGACCAGCCACACUGGAACUGAGACACGGUCCAGACUCCUACGGGAGGCAGCAGUGGGGAAUAUUGCACAAUGGGCGCAAGCCUGAUGCAGCCAUGCCGCGUGUAUGAAGAAGGCCUUCGGGUUGUAAAGUACUUUCAGCGAGGAGGAAGGCGUUAAGGUUAAUAACCUUGGUGAUUGACGUUACUCGCAGAAGAAGCACCGGCUAACUCCGUGCCAGCAGCCGCGGUAAUACGGAGGGUGCAAGCGUUAAUCGGAAUUACUGGGCGUAAAGCGCACGCAGGCGGUCUGUCAAGUCGGAUGUGAAAUCCCCGGGCUCAACCUGGGAACUGCAUUCGAAACUGGCAGGCUAGAGUCUUGUAGAGGGGGGUAGAAUUCCAGGUGUANCGGUGAAAUGCNUANAGAUCUGGAGGAAUACCCGUNGGCNAAGNCGNCCCCCUGGACANAACAGGAUUAGAUACCCUGGUAGUCCACGCCGUAAACGAUGUCGACNUGGAGGUUGUGCCCUUGAGGCGUGGCUUCCGGAGCUAACGCGUUAAGUCGACCGCCUGGGGAGUACGGCCGCAAGGUUAAAACUCAAAUGAAUUGACGGGGGCCCGCACAAGCGGUGGAGCAUGUGGUUUAAUUCGAUGCAACGCGAAGAACCUUACCUACUCUUGACAUCCAGAGAACUUAGCAGAGAUGCUUUGGUGCCUUCGGGAACUCUGAGACAGGUGCUGCAUGGCUGUCGUCAGCUCGUGUUGUGAAAUGUUGGGUUAAGUCCCGCAACGAGCGCAACCCUUAUCCUUUGUUGCCAGCGAUUCGGUCGGGAACUCAAAGGAGACUGCCAGUGAUAAACUGGAGGAAGGUGGGGAUGACGUCAAGUCAUCAUGGCCCUUACGAGUAGGGCUACACACGUGCUACAAUGGCAUAUACAAAGAGAAGCGACCUCGCGAGAGCAAGCGGACCUCAUAAAGUAUGUCGUAGUCCGGAUUGGAGUCUGCAACUCGACUCCAUGAAGUCGGAAUCGCUAGUAAUCGUAGAUCAGAAUGCUACGGUGAAUACGUUCCCGGGCCUUGUACACACCGCCCGUCACACCAUGGGAGUGGGUUGCAAAAGAAGUAGGUAGCUUAACCUUCGGGAGGGCGNNUUCNUUANNUUUNC
RNAcentral lists this ribosomal RNA (1399 nucleotides) under Klebsiella aerogenes. RNAcentral describes it as "partial 16S rRNA". It matches the Rfam family "Bacterial small subunit ribosomal RNA". The record is from RNAcentral. Lineage: Bacteria; Pseudomonadati; Pseudomonadota; Gammaproteobacteria; Enterobacterales; Enterobacteriaceae.